This 566-nucleotide long non-coding RNA is filed under the name Homo sapiens (human). RNAcentral's name for it is "non-protein coding lnc-PABPC4-1:16". The record is from RNAcentral. Lineage: Eukaryota; Metazoa; Chordata; Mammalia; Primates; Hominidae.
CUCAGUGGCAGCCGCAGGCCUUGACCACCAUGUUGCGGUGCUUGCGCAGGAUGACGUUGUUGCUGCUGUCAUAGUAGAGCACAGAGGUGGCGCUCAGCUUGACUUGCGGAUCCUGCUCCCCUUCCCACUUCUGCACUUGGGGGUCUAAUGAGGCCUCAGUGGAACAUAGAAUUCCUCCCGCCCUGACAUCAUAGCUCCCGCCUGGGAGGCCUCCUGGAUGACUCCUUUCGCCUCCUCCCUUCCCUGAGAGCAGCCCCUGGCUCAACCUCCACCUCCGUGCUGCCUCGGACCACCUGCCCAGUCGAGCUGCCAUCACCUGCCAGGUGACCACAGCAGCCCUCACUCAUCCCCUGCUCCUCUGCCUUCCACUCCCGCGACCAUCAGCCUCCCCAAGCCAGAAAGGUCCUUCUGGAGGGUGACGCAGACCAGGACACUGCUUUGCUGAAGACCUCUGACAGCCUCUGGGGUUGCUUGGAAUAAAAUCCACCCUCCUUCCCAGGGAACCCCAGGCCCUACGGGAGCUGGCCUGGCUCACCCCGGCAUCACCUCCCUCCACUCUCCUCCCC